Molecule: ribosomal RNA, 539 nt
Filed under: uncultured bacterium
Lineage: Bacteria
Description: bacterial SSU rRNA
Rfam family: Bacterial small subunit ribosomal RNA
Source: RNAcentral
GAGUUUGAUCAUGGCUCAGAACGAACGCUGGCGGCGUGCCUAAGACAGCAAGUCGGACGGAAAGGCACCUUCGGGUGCACUCGAGUGGCGCACGGGUGAGUAACGCGUGGGUAAUCUGCCCUCAGGUCGGGGACAACUCCGGGAAACUGGAGCUAAUACCGGAUGAGACCACGAGGUCCUCGGAGCUCGCGGGAAAAGAUGGCCUCUCCUUGGAAGCUAUCGCCAGAGGAUGAGCCCGCGUCCCAUUAGUUUGUUGGUGAGGUAACGGCUCACCAAGGCGACGAUGGGUAGCUGGUCUGAGAGGAUGAUCAGCCACACUGGAACUGAGACACGGUCCAGACUCCUACGGGAGGCAGCAGUCGGGAAUUUUGGGCAAUGGGGGCAACCCUGACCCAGCAACGCCGCGUGAGGGAUGAAGGCCUUCGGGUCGUAAACCUCUGUCGGGAGGGAAGAACGUCUUCCGGGUGAACAAUCCGGGAGGCUGACGGUACCUCCAAAGGAAGCACCGGCUAACUCCGUGCCAGCAGCCGCGGUAAUAC